AUUGAACGCUGGCGGCAUGCCUUACACAUGCCAGUCGAACGGCAGCACGGGUGCUUGCACCUGGUGGCGAGUGGCGAACGGGUGAGUAAUACAUCGGAACAUGUCCUGUAGCGGGGGAUAGCCCGGCGAAAGCCGGAUUAAUACCGCAUACGAUCUACGGAUGAAAGCGGGGGACCUUCGGGCCUCGCGCUAUAGGGUUGGCCGAUGGCUGAUUAGCUAGUUGGUGGGGUAAAGGCCUACCAAGGCGACGAUCAGUAGCUGGUCUGGGAGGACGACCAGCCACACUGGGACUGAGACACGGCCCAGACUCCUACGGGAGGCAGCAGUGGGGAAUUUUGGACAAUGGGCGAAAGCCUGAUCCAGCAAUGCCGCGUGUGUGAAGAAGGCCUUCGGGUUGUAAAGCACUUUUGUCCGGAAAGAAAUCCUUGGCCCUAAUACGGUCGGGGGAUGACGGUACCGGAAGAAUAAGCACCGGCUAACUACGUG
RNAcentral lists this ribosomal RNA (486 nucleotides) under uncultured bacterium. RNAcentral describes it as "partial 16S ribosomal RNA". It matches the Rfam family "Bacterial small subunit ribosomal RNA", at positions 30 to 507 of the family's 1533-position model. The record is from RNAcentral.